This 555-nucleotide ribosomal RNA is filed under the name fungal sp. RNAcentral describes it as "eukaryotic LSU rRNA". The stretch from base 184 to 337 matches the Rfam family "5.8S ribosomal RNA". The record is from RNAcentral. Lineage: Eukaryota; Fungi.
UGUCGGAGUGAGGCUCUGGGUCACCUCCCACCCGUGUCUAUCGUACCUUGUUGCUUCGGCGGGCCCGCCGUUUCGACGGCCGCCGGGGAGGCCCUGCGCCCCCGGGCCCGCGCCCGCCGAAGACCCCAACAUGAACGCUGUUCUGAAAGUAUGCAGUCUGAGUUGAUUAUCGUAAUCAGUUAAAACUUUCAACAACGGAUCUCUUGGUUCCGGCAUCGAUGAAGAACGCAGCGAAAUGCGAUAAGUAAUGUGAAUUGCAGAAUUCAGUGAAUCAUCGAGUCUUUGAACGCACAUUGCGCCCCCUGGUAUUCCGGGGGGCAUGCCUGUCCGAGCGUCAUUGCUGCCCUCAAGCACGGCUUGUGUGUUGGGCCCCCGUCCCCCUCUCCCGGGGGACGGGCCCGAAAGGCAGCGGCGGCACCGCGUCCGGUCCUCGAGCGUAUGGGGCUUUGUCACCUGCUCUGUAGGCCCGGCCGGCGCCAGCCGACACCCAACUUUAUUUUUCUAAGGUUGACCUCGGAUCAGGUAGGGAUACCCGCUGAACUUAAGCAUAUCAAA